Molecule: non-coding RNA, 664 nt
Organism: Mus caroli (Ryukyu mouse)
Lineage: Eukaryota; Metazoa; Chordata; Mammalia; Rodentia; Muridae
Source: the annotation of a RefSeq genome assembly
ACAAGAAACUGUCUGAGGAGACCCAGGAGGCAGCUGGGUAUGGUCUAGGUCUGGGAGCCUACGCCUUGACAAGCAUGAAGGGCAAAGAGGAAGUGUGAGCUGAAACCAUCUACACAACAGGGAGCAUCCAAGCAAAGCAUUUUACGGGUCAGCAAAACACACCCAGGCAGCCAGGAUCCAAAGAGAAAGAGAUCCUAUCCUGUGUGACACUGCCAUGGGCUCCAUGCUCCUCAGUUACCUGGCCCUUUGUCUCCUGGUGGCAGGUCCAGUCGACCCGAAAAUUAUCCAGAAACCAAAAUAUCUGGUGGCAGUCACAGGGAGUGAAAAAACCCUGAUAUGCGAACAGUAUCUAGGCCACAAUGCUAUGUAUUGGUAUAGACAAAGUGCUAAGAAGUCUCUAGAGUUCAUGUUUUCCUAUAGCUAUCAAAAACUUAUGGACAACCAGACUGCCUCAAGUCGCUUCCAACCUCAAAGUUCAGAGAAAAACCAUUUAGACCUUCAGAUCACAGCCCUAAAGCCUGACGACGCGGCCACGUACUUCUGUGCCAGUAGCCAAGACACAGCCCUGCAGAGCUCUUGCCUCCCUGUACACAAACCUCCUCAGUCUAUCCAGGAAACUGUUGAUGUAACUGGUCUACCUGAGCCUGGGGACUCAGUUCAGUAG